This 468-nucleotide ribosomal RNA is filed under the name uncultured bacterium. RNAcentral describes it as "partial 16S ribosomal RNA". It matches the Rfam family "Bacterial small subunit ribosomal RNA", at positions 28 to 507 of the family's 1533-position model. The record is from RNAcentral.
GACGAACGCUGGCGGCGUGCUUAACACAUGCAAGUCGAACGGAAAGGCCCUGCUUUUGUGGGGUGCUCGAGUGGCGAACGGGUGAGUAACACGUGAGUAACCUGCCCUUGACUUUGGGAUAACUUCAGGAAACUGGGGCUAAUACCGGAUAGGAGCUCCUGAUGCAUGGUGGGGGUUGGAAAGUUUCGGCGGUUGGGGCUGGUUUGGCGGCUUAUCAGCUUGUUGGUGGGGUAGUGGCUUACCAAGGCUUUGACGGGUGGCCGGCCUGGGAGGGUGACCGGGCACAUUGGGACUGAGGUACGGCCCAGACUCCUACGGGAGGCAGCGGUGGAGAAUAUUGCACAAUGGGCGGAAGCCUGAUGCAGCAACGCCGGGUGCGGGAUGACGGCCUUCGGGUUGUAAACCGCUUUCGCCUGUGACGAAGAGUGAGUGACGGUAAUGGGUAAAGAAGCACCGGCUAACUACGUG